This 468-nucleotide ribosomal RNA is filed under the name uncultured bacterium. RNAcentral describes it as "partial 16S ribosomal RNA". It matches the Rfam family "Bacterial small subunit ribosomal RNA", at positions 28 to 507 of the family's 1533-position model. The record is from RNAcentral.
GACGAACGCUGGCGGCGUGCUUAGCACAUGCAAGUCGAACGGAAAGGCCCUGCUUUUGUGGGGUGCUCGAGUGGCGAACGGGUGAGUAACACGUGAGUAACCUGCCCUUGACUUUGGGAUAACUUCAGGAAACUGGGGCUAAUACCGGAUAGGAGCUCCUACUGCAUGGUGGGGGUUGGAAAGUUUCGGCGGUUGGGGAUGGACUCGCGGCUUAUCAGCUUGUUGGUGGGGUAGUGGCUUACCAAGGCUUUGACGGGUAGCCGGCCUGAGAGGGUGACCGGCCACAUUGGGACUGAGAUACGGCCCAGACUCCUACGGGAGGCAGCAGUGGGGAAUAUUGCACAAUGGGCGGAAGCCUGAUGCAGCAACGCCGCGUGCGGGAUGACGGCCUUCGGGUUGUAAACCGCUUUCGCCUGUGACGAAGCGUGAGUGACGGUAAUGGGUAAAGAAGCACCGGCUAACUACGUG